GUGUGACUCGUCACACUAUCAUUAACUGAAUCCAUAGGUUAAUGAGGCGAACCGGGGGAACUGAAACAUCUAAGUACCCCGAGGAAAAGAAAUCAACCGAGAUUCCCCCAGUAGCGGCGAGCGAACGGGGAGGAGCCCAGAGCCUGAAUCAGCAUGUGUGUUAGUGGAAGCGUCUGGAAAGGCGCGCGAUACAGGGUGACAGCCCCGUACACAAAAGCGCAUGUGCUGUGAGCUCGAUGAGUAGGGCGGGACACGUGGUAUCCUGUCUGAAUAUGGGGGGACCAUCCUCCAAGGCUAAAUACUCCUGACUGACCGAUAGUGAACCAGUACCGUGAGGGAAAGGCGAAAAGAACCCCGGCGAGGGGAGUGAAAAAGAACCUGAAACCGUGUACGUACAAGCAGUGGGAGCACAGGUUUACCUGUGUGACUGCGUACCUUUUGUAUAAUGGGUCAGCGACUUAUAUUCUGUAGCAAGGUUAACCGAAUAGGGGAGCCGGAGGGAAACCGAGUCUUAAUUGGGCGUUAAGUUGCAGGGUAUAGACCCGAAACCCGGUGAUCUAGCCAUGGGCAGGUUGAAGGUUGGGUAACACUAACUGGAGGACCGAACCGACUAAUGUUGAAAAAUUAGCGGAUGACCUGUGGCUGGGGGUGAAAGGCCAAUCAAACCGGGAGAUAGCUGGUUCUCCCCGAAAGCUAUUUAGGUAGCGCCUCGUGAAUUCAUCUCCGGGGGUAGAGCACUGUUUCGGCUAGGGGGCCAUCCCGGCUUACCAACCCGAUGCAAACUGCGAAUACCGGAGAAUGUUAUCACGGGAGACACACGGCGGGUGCUAACGUCCGUCGUGAAGAGGGAAACAACCCAGACCGCCAGCUAAGGUCCCAAAGUCAUGGUUAAGUGGGAAACGAUGUGGGAAGGCCCAGACAGCCAGGAUGUUGGCUUAGAAGCAGCCAUCAUUUAAAGAAAGCGUAAUAGCUCACUGGUCGAGUCGGCCUGCGCGGAAGAUGUAACGGGGCUAAACCAUG
Molecule: ribosomal RNA, 1020 nt
Filed under: Salmonella enterica subsp. enterica serovar Enteritidis
Lineage: Bacteria; Pseudomonadati; Pseudomonadota; Gammaproteobacteria; Enterobacterales; Enterobacteriaceae
Description: partial 23S ribosomal RNA
Rfam family: Bacterial large subunit ribosomal RNA
Source: RNAcentral